AGAAUCAACGCUGGCGGCGUGCCUAACACAUGCAAGUCGAACGCGACUGAGGGCUUCGGUUCUCAGUUGAGUGGCGAACGGGUGAGUAACACGUGGGUGAUCUACCUUCGAGCGGGGAUAACGUCCGAAAGGACGCUAAUACCGCAUGACGUUCUGGGUUUAAAGACCUGGAAACCAAAGCCGGGGACCGCAAGGCCUGGCACUUGAAGAGGAGCCCGCGUCCGAUUAGCUAGUUGGCGGGGUAAUGGCCCACCAAGGCGACGAUCGGUA
This 270-nucleotide ribosomal RNA is filed under the name uncultured bacterium. Its description in RNAcentral is "partial small subunit ribosomal RNA". It matches the Rfam family "Bacterial small subunit ribosomal RNA", at positions 26 to 285 of the family's 1533-position model. The record is from RNAcentral.